CCUACGGGAGGCAGCAGUGGGGAAUAUUGCACAAUGGGCGCAAGCCUGAUGCAGCCAUGCCGCGUGUAUGAUGAAGGCCUUCGGGUUGUAAAGUACUUUCAGUCGGGAGGAAGGUGGUAAGGUUAAUAACCUUAUCACUUGACUUUACCGACCCAAGAAGCACCGUCUAACUCCGUGCCAGCAGCCGCGGUAAUACGGAGGGUGCAAGCGUUAAUCGGAAUUACUGGGCGUAAAGCGCACGCAGUCGGUUGAUUGAGUCAGAUGUGAAAUCACCGGGCUUAACCCGGGAAUUGCAUCUGAUACUGGUCAGCUAGAGUAUUGUAGAGGGAGGUAGAAUUCCAUGUGGAGCGGUGAAAUGCGUAGAGAUGUGGAGGAAUACCGAUGGCGAAGGCGGCCCCCUAGACAAAGACUGACGCUCAGGUGCGAAAGCGUGGGGAGCAAACAGGAUUAGAUACCCGAGUAGUC
This 465-nucleotide ribosomal RNA is filed under the name uncultured bacterium. Its description in RNAcentral is "partial 16S ribosomal RNA". It matches the Rfam family "Bacterial small subunit ribosomal RNA", at positions 338 to 795 of the family's 1533-position model. The record is from RNAcentral.